Molecule: long non-coding RNA, 251 nt
Filed under: Elaeis guineensis (African oil palm)
Lineage: Eukaryota; Viridiplantae; Streptophyta; Magnoliopsida; Arecales; Arecaceae
Description: long non-coding RNA (EGUI_LNC072725)
Source: RNAcentral
GCACCAGCGAUAAGCGAAAAACAAACUACAUCAAAGACCCAAGGGACCUUGUCUCAACAAGGAAGGAUACUCCUAUCAAAAAAUCCUCAGUCACUAAGAGGAAACUCAACAUAGGCCGAGGAGAAAUCGACUUCGUCAAAGUAACGAGAAGUUCGGAUCCCCAAUCUCGAGCAUCGGGAGGAAGCAUCAAACUCAAAUGGUCUCGAAAAGACCUACGGUCAUGAACAAAAAAAGCAAAUCAACACGGCGGC